RNAcentral lists this ribosomal RNA (1037 nucleotides) under Phialophora verrucosa. RNAcentral describes it as "SSU rRNA". It matches the Rfam family "Eukaryotic small subunit ribosomal RNA", at positions 66 to 1115 of the family's 1831-position model. The record is from RNAcentral. Lineage: Eukaryota; Fungi; Ascomycota; Eurotiomycetes; Chaetothyriales; Herpotrichiellaceae.
UAGGCAAUCAUACUGUGAAACUGCGAAUGGCUCAUUAAAUCAGUUAUCGUUUAUUUGAUAGUACCUUUACCUGGAUAACCGUGGUAAUUCUAGAGCUAAUACAUGCUAAAAACCCCGACUUAGGAAGGGGUGUAUUUAUUAGAUAAAAAACCAAUGCCCUCUNGGGCUCCUUGGUGAUUCAUAAUAACUUAACGAAUCGCAUGGCCUUGCGCCGGCGAUGGUUCAUUCAAAUUUCUGCCCUAUCAAUUUUCGAUGGUAGAGUAGUGGUCUACCAUGAUCUUAACGGGUAACGGGGAAUUAGGGUUCUAUUCCGGAGAAGGAGCCUGAGAAACGGCUACUACAUCCAAGGAAGGCAGCAGGCGCGCAAAUUACCCAAUGCUAAUUCAGCGAGGUAGUGACAAUAAAUACUGAUACGGGGCUCUUUCGGGUCUCGUAAUUGGAAUGAGUACAAUCUAAAUCCCUUAACGAGGAACAAUUGGAGGGCAAGUCUGGUGCCAGCAGCCGCGGUAAUUCCAGCUCCAAUAGCGUAUAUNAAAGUUGUUGCCGUUAAAAAGCUCGUAGUUGAACCUUGGACCUGGCUGACCUGUCCUCCUAAUCGAGCGCACGGAUUCGGUCGGGUCUUUCCUUCUGGGGAGCCCUAUGCCCUUCACUGGGUGAUGUGGGGAACCAGGACUUUUACCUUGAAAAAAUUAGAGUGUUCAAAGCAGGCCUUUGCUCGAAUACAUUAGCAUGGAAUAAUAGAAUAGGACAUCGGUUCUAUUUUGUUGGUUUCUAGGACCGCUGUAAUGAUUAAUAGGGAUAGUCGGGGGCGUCAGUAUUCAAUUGUCAGAGGUGAAAUUCUUGGAUUUAUUGAAGACUAACUACUGCGAAAGCAUUCGCCAAGGAUGUUUUCAUUAAUCAGUGAACGAAAGUUAGGGGAUCGAAGACGAUCAGAUACCGUCGUAGUCUUAACCAUAAACUAUGCCGACUAGGGAUCGGACGGUGGUUUUUUUAUGCCCCGUUCGGCACCUUACGAGAAAUCAAAGUUUUUGGGCUCG